RNAcentral lists this ribosomal RNA (484 nucleotides) under uncultured bacterium. RNAcentral describes it as "bacterial SSU rRNA". It matches the Rfam family "Bacterial small subunit ribosomal RNA", at positions 29 to 503 of the family's 1533-position model. The record is from RNAcentral.
AUUGAACGCUGGCGGCAUGCCUAACACAUGCAAGUCGAACGGCAGCACGGCAGUAGCAAUACUGUGGGUGGCGAGUGGCGGACGGGUGAGGAAUACGUCGGAAUCUGCCCAGUCGUGGGGGAUAACUAGCCGAAAGGUUAGCUAAUACCGCAUACGACCGAGAGGUGAAAGCGGGGGACCGCAAGGCCUCGCGCGAUUGGAUGAGCCGACGUCGGAUUAGCUAGUUGGUGGGGUAAAGGCCCACCAAGGCGACGAUCCGUAGCUGGUCUGAGAGGAUGAUCAGCCACACUGGAACUGAGACACGGUCCAGACUCCUACGGGAGGCAGCAGUGGGGAAUAUUGGACAAUGGGCGCAAGCCUGAUCCAGCAAUGCCGCGUGUGUGAAGAAGGCCUUCGGUGUAAGCACUUUAUCAGGACGAAAGACGUUGGAGUUAAUAACUCUGACGUGCUGACGGUACCUGAGGAAGUAAGCACCGGCUAACUU